UAAGUCUCUUUCUGUGUCUCUGUCUUUCUCUCUCUCACUCACAAAUACAGACACUCACAUUGUAUGUUGGUUUUUUAAUAUAUCUCAAUUGUUUUUCAGG
This is a long non-coding RNA of Sapajus apella (tufted capuchin), 100 nucleotides long. RefSeq lists it as uncharacterized. NCBI's taxonomy places the organism in Eukaryota, Metazoa, Chordata, Mammalia, Primates, Cebidae. The transcript is spliced from 3 exons. The record is from RefSeq and is a predicted model, not a curated record.